AUUUUGUAAAAAAAAACGUUGAGACUACUACUUAAUGUAAGUACCUAGUACCUACAGGUAAAAAUGUAACAAUUAUACGUAAGGCAAAUGAACCCCGCAAAAAAAUCCCCAAAGCAUUUAUACUGUCAAAAUUAUAUGUAAAUAAAAAAAAAUCGAAUAUAGUUUAAUCAUCAAUGGUUGAGUGUAUAAUAUGCACACAGCUGUCAAAAAUAAUAAUAAAUAGUUAAAAAAAAAAAUUAAUGUAUGUAGUUAUAACCUAACCUAACAUAUUUAGUUUUUCCUUGUGUGGAUUUAAUAUUUCCAUAGUUGCACAGUAGCACAAUUCGAAAUUACUCAACAGGAACUGAAGAAGUACUAGCCGUAAUACCUAUGCAAUAUCUAAUAACGUGUAGAUACC
Molecule: non-coding RNA, 397 nt
Organism: Cinara cedri
Lineage: Eukaryota; Metazoa; Arthropoda; Insecta; Hemiptera; Aphididae
Source: the annotation of a GenBank genome assembly